Molecule: ribosomal RNA, 429 nt
Filed under: Chloroflexota bacterium
Lineage: Bacteria; Bacillati; Chloroflexota
Description: Chloroflexi bacterium partial 16S ribosomal RNA
Rfam family: Bacterial small subunit ribosomal RNA
Source: RNAcentral
UGGGGAAUAUUGCACAAUGGGCGCAAGCCUGAUGCAGCCAUGCCGCGUGUAUGAAGAAGGCCUUCGGGUUGUAAAGUACUUUCAGCGGGGGGGAAGGGAGUAAAGUUAAUACCUUUGCUCAUUGACGUUACCCGCAGAAGAAGCACCGGCUAACUCCGUGCCAGCAGCCGCGGUAAUACGGAGGGUGCAAGCGUUAAUCGGAAUUACUGGGCGUAAAGCGCACGCAGGCGGUUUGUUAAGUCAGAUGUGAAAUCCUCGGGCUCAACCUGGGAACUGCAUCUGAUACUGGCAAGCUUGAGUCUCGUAGAGGGGGGUAGAAUUCCAGGUGUAGCGGUGAAAUGCGUAGAGAUCUGGAGGAAUACCGGUGGCGAAGGCGGCCCCCUGGACGAAGACUGACGCUCAGGUGCGAAAGCGUGGGGAGCAAACAGG